Molecule: transfer RNA, 85 nt
Filed under: Actinoplanes friuliensis DSM 7358
Lineage: Bacteria; Bacillati; Actinomycetota; Actinomycetes; Micromonosporales; Micromonosporaceae
Description: tRNA-Ser (GCT) (tRNA-Ser-GCT-1-1)
Rfam family: tRNA
About the family: Transfer RNA (tRNA) molecules are approximately 80 nucleotides in length. Their secondary structure includes four short double-helical elements and three loops (D, anti-codon, and T loops).
Source: Rfam by way of RNAcentral
GGAAGGGUGGCUGAGAGGCCCAAGGCGCUCCCUUGCUAAGGGAGAGACGCGCAAGCGUCCGCGGGUUCGAAUCCCGCCUCUUCCG